Non-coding RNA from Arachis ipaensis, 496 nucleotides. The record is from RefSeq and is a predicted model, not a curated record. Lineage: Eukaryota; Viridiplantae; Streptophyta; Magnoliopsida; Fabales; Fabaceae.
UUUUAUUACUCUUGCUAUCUUAUUUUCAUGGCAAUUAACUGGUUGUGAUUCUUCAGUCACUUGUAUUGCAUCUGUGGUUCAAUAAAAUUUUAUAGUGCUUAUAUAAUAGUCAUCUUGUGACCAUCUCCUCUAAAUACUAAAGCUGUUACUUGCAUGGUUCUUUGACAGCUAAAAAGACUUAUCCUACUAGGUUCAUCUCAAAAGGCCAGGGAAAUACCUUCACGUUUGUUUUCUCUCGUAAUUAUUGCUGUUAAACGUACCUAAGCACCAAGAUACAGGUUAAGUUCUUGCAUUAAGUGCUUCUAGUAGAGGGAAAUGCAGGUACAUUUACAUUAAAAUUUACAGUUUUACAUGAGAAAUACAAUUUCAAGUGAAUUUCAAAGGGCAGUGCUUCAUCUUUCAUUUGGAGAAGUCUAUUUUAGCCUUGGUCUUGUUGCAUUGGUGAGGCUUUAUUACUUCGUAAAUUACAUUUUUGUUUCAAAAUAUAUAUAUAUUU